Molecule: long non-coding RNA, 1509 nt
Organism: Gallus gallus (chicken)
Lineage: Eukaryota; Metazoa; Chordata; Aves; Galliformes; Phasianidae
Source: Ensembl
AAAUGACCCAUGUGUUUCCAUCACUGAAGCUUAGCUAGUUUUCUCUCAGCUGUUUCUCUCCCUUGAUCACCCAUCUCUCAAGCUGCCUCUCUCUCUCUCUUGCUCUCCGUUGCCUCUCUGUUGCUUCUAUUUCAUUCUUUUUAUCUCUCUCUGUCAUCUCUUGUUCUCUGUCUUUCUCUCUAAUAUUUCUUAAAUCACUUCAUCAAAUUUGAACAAGAGAUUUACAUGUGAAGUAGUUUUGGCCUGGGAAUUUUUUUAUCUUUUUACCCAAUAAAUCUUCUGCAUGUGAGCAGAUCACCUGUAUAGUCUUCCUUGAGGGAUUUGAGUUCAAAGGAGAGCUGAGGAGAGAUGCUCCACUUUCUUCACCAUCUUCAUGGCUCUUUGCUGUACUAUUUUCAGUAGCUCCAUGUCUCCAACAAGAGCACAGAAUGACAGAAUCACAGAAUGGCCUGGGUUGGAAGAGACCUCAAGGAUCAUGAAUCUCCAAACUGCCUGCCGGACAGGGCCACCAACCUCCCCAUUUACUAGACCAGGUUGCCCAGGGUCCCAUCCAACCUGGCCUUGAACACCUCCAGGGACGGAGCAUCUACAACCUCUCUGGGCAGCCCGUUCCAGCACCUCACCACUCUCCUGAACAUCCGGAAAACACUGUUGUCAAGAACUUUGACUUCUAGCCUGUCUGGGCUCUUCAAAUGGAACCAGGAAAUGCUUGUGGAAGUUCAGAAAGCUGCUAAAAUGAGGGACCUGUGGAAUUUCCAUCUGGAGACAGUCAUUUAUCAACAGGUGAAGCAGAAGGGAGCAAACAUGCUAAAAAAGCUGGUCAUGGUAAAUAAAACAUACAUAAAAAGAAAAAGGAAGCAAAGGCUCAGAGAUGUAUAUUAGAUGAUAGUCGUGAUUAAAUCUAUGUUUGCAAAUGUAUAUUUUUGUUCAUUCAAAACCAAAUUUCUGUUUAAAUGAGUGACUAGCCCCAAAAAGUCUGUUUUGUAUCUACACCUCAUUAAAGAAACACAUUCUGGAAUUGUGUCAGAAAUAAUUAAAUGUCUAAGCAUAGUGAACCAUCAAAGUAUCUCAAUAAUACUCCUUAUUUGUGCAGAAAUAUAUAUUCCUAUUUGCAUAGAAGUGUUGCUGAAACAUCUUCAAAACAAAUUCUGAAAAGAAGACAAGGAAACUAUUCAUGACAAUGAAAAUUUAGUAAGAAGAAAUAUCAGCUAGGUGACACAAAACUGAGUGUCAGUUCUAUCAUCUUCUGCUGAUGAUGGUCACUUGUUAAGAUACAAAGAAAGCUGAUUCUGUGCCCUAGAAAUAUUAAAGAGAAAAUUGUAACUGAAUCUCAUUUGAAAUACCAUUUACACGGAAGGACUGAUAUCAAGAGAGAGCAGAUAAUGAAAACAUUAAUAAAAUAAACACAAAAAAGCCCAUCCUAUAUCAGUAUAGUUGCAUGUCCAACCGUUAGGACAUUGUUAGUUAUGAGUUAAUUGAUAACCAAGGGCCUUUUGCAUCUCAUCUUAU